Molecule: long non-coding RNA, 159 nt
Organism: Suricata suricatta (meerkat)
Lineage: Eukaryota; Metazoa; Chordata; Mammalia; Carnivora; Herpestidae
Exons: 3
Source: RefSeq, a predicted model, not a curated record
UUCUCUGGCUUUUCAUCUUCACUGCCUUUUCUUUCACAGAAAGUUCAGCUGGGAUGACCAACUUGUAUCUGUACACCUGCUCUAAUCUGGAGGAGGGAAUAAGACCUGUGAUCACCUCUAAAACAACCAGUGCGAUUUUCCAUGGGACAGUGCCAGGUA